RNAcentral lists this unclassified non-coding RNA (937 nucleotides) under Hevea brasiliensis (rubber tree). The record is from RNAcentral. Lineage: Eukaryota; Viridiplantae; Streptophyta; Magnoliopsida; Malpighiales; Euphorbiaceae.
AUUUGGUCUAAUAUUAUUAGCAUUUUUUUUAACAAUCAAUUUUCAUCAACAUGAUUUACUGGAUUUAGAAAGAAGAUUGAAUAUGAGUAGCAGCAACCCAUUGAGCUUUUCUACAAUCCAAUUCCAACAAAUAAAUAAAAGAAAUGAAAUAUAGAAAGGCAGUCCAGAAAUAUUGAUUUAAUCUGCAGCAGCAGCAGCUCAUCAAGCUUUCAUAUCGUCUAGUCCUACACUAGCCAAGAACUUGUGAUUCUCUUCCAGAAAAGGCGAGAAAUUAGUGCAGAACUUUUCCAUGUCAGAAUUAAGAUCACCUUUGCCACUAAUUACAUCCAUAAAUUUCUUCCUAUCUGGAGCCAGCUUCAAGGCAACUGAAAAACUUGAACUAGCUAGCCAGUUAUGCCAUUUCUUCAGGGUCUUGUUGUAUGAAUCAGUGCAAACUUGUGUCAUGCUCCAAUCUGGAUGAGCCAAUAAGUUACGAAAUAGUUCCACCAAGAAGUCCAUGGCCCUUGUUAACCAAAGUAGACCAUUUGUGCAGCUGGAUGAUCCUUUUGCUGUUUUAGCAUCAAUCUCCGACCGCACUACACUGUAUAAGAGAGUGAAUUCUGAUGGGUUUGAAGAAUACUUAUUCUCCAAUCUCGAUAUGUUACCACCAAUAUCAGAUUUUACAAUUGACAUGGCUGAUCCAAAAUUAUCUAAAACGGGCAAUAUGGUUUUGCAUAAGUCCAAGAAAGGCUUGGUUAGAAUUUUUCCAUCUUGAGACCUCACAUGUUGAAUUCCUUGCAGAGAGGCAGUGAAAACAGUUCCCUCCAUUCUUGCACUGGGAGAUGAAAAUCUUGUGCAGAAAAUAGAAUGAGAGAGAAAAAAAAUUUCGUUUUUCCUUGAUUUUUGAGUCAGGAAAAUGAUGGUAUUGUUACUGUUCAGUUAUGUGCUGAUGCGGAAA